Molecule: ribosomal RNA, 468 nt
Filed under: uncultured bacterium
Lineage: Bacteria
Description: partial 16S ribosomal RNA
Rfam family: Bacterial small subunit ribosomal RNA
Source: RNAcentral
GACGAACGCUGGCGGCGUGCUUAACACAUGCAAGUCGAACGGAAAGGCCCUGCUCUUGCGGGGUGCUCGAGUGGCGAACGGGUGAGUAACACGCGAGUAACCUGCCCCUGACUUUGGGAUAACUCCAGGAAACUGGGGCUAAUACCGGAUAGGAGCUCCUGCUGCACGGUGGGGGUUGGAAAGUUUCGGCGGUUGGGGAUGGACUCGCGGCUUAUCAGCUUGUUGGUGGGGUAGUGGCUUACCAAGGCUUUGACGGGUAGCCGGCCUGAGAGGGUGACCGGCCACAUUGGGACUGAGGUACGGCCCAGACUCCUACGGGAGGCAGCAGUGGGGAAUAUUGCACAAUGGGCGGAAGCCUGAUGCAGCAACGCCGCGUGCGGGAUGACGGCCUUCGGGUUGUAAACCGCUUUCGCCUGUGACGAAGUGUGAGUGACGGUAAUGGGUAAAGAAGCACCGGCUAACUACGUG